GCCGGGGGAUGCACGCGUUAUCCGGAAUCACUGGGCGUAAAGCGUCUGUAGGUGGUGAUGCAAGUCACUGGUGCAAAACUCUGGCUCAACCGGAGGAAAGCCAGUGAAACUGCAUGACUAGAGUGUGGGAGAGGUAGAAGGAAUUCCCUGAGUAGCGGUGAAAUGCGUAGAUACAGGGAAGAACACCGGAGGCGAAAGCGUUCUACUGGAACACAACUGACAAUGAGAGACGAAAGCUAGGGGAGCGAAUGGG
RNAcentral lists this ribosomal RNA (253 nucleotides) under uncultured bacterium. RNAcentral's name for it is "partial 16S ribosomal RNA". It matches the Rfam family "Bacterial small subunit ribosomal RNA", at positions 524 to 776 of the family's 1533-position model. The record is from RNAcentral.